RNAcentral lists this transfer RNA (72 nucleotides) under Heterocephalus glaber (naked mole-rat). It matches the Rfam family "tRNA". From Rfam's summary of the family: Transfer RNA (tRNA) molecules are approximately 80 nucleotides in length. Their secondary structure includes four short double-helical elements and three loops (D, anti-codon, and T loops). The record is from Rfam by way of RNAcentral. Lineage: Eukaryota; Metazoa; Chordata; Mammalia; Rodentia; Bathyergidae.
CGGGUUAUGGCUGAGUGGUAAAGCCUCUGCCUAGCAUGCACAAGGCCCUGGGUUCAAUCCCUAGUAAUGCAG